AAACCAACAGGGAUUGCCUCAGUAACGGCGAGUGAAGCGGCAAAAGCUCAAAUUUGAAAUCUGAGGCUCUCCAGCCCCCGAGUUGUAAUUUGAAGAUGGUGUUCUGGUGCCGGCGCCCUGUCUACGUUCCUUGGAACAGGACAUCGCAGAGGGUGAGAAUCCCGUGUGGCGGGGCGGCCUGGCUCCGUGUAGAGCGCCAUCGACGAGUCGAGUUGUUUGGGAAUGCAGCUCUAAGUGGGUGGUAAAUUCCAUCUAAAGCUAAAUAUUGGCGAGAGACCGAUAGCGAACAAGUACAGUGAUGGAAAGAUGAAAAGAACUUUGAAAAGAGAGUGAAAAAGUACGUGAAAUUGUUGAAAGGGAAGGGUAUUGGAUCAGACUUGGUGCUGUGCGAAUAGCGGCCCUUCUUGGGCUGCCCACUCGCACUCCACCGGGCCAGCAUCGGUUUGGGCGGCAAGACAAUGGCGGCGGAACGUGGCACUGCUCCCGGGCAGUGUGUUUAUAGCCCCCGCUGAUGUUGCCUGCCUAGACCGAGGACUGCGGCUUCUGCCUAGGAUGCUGGCGUAAUGAUCCAACACCGC
RNAcentral lists this ribosomal RNA (578 nucleotides) under Cyberlindnera sp. RW2-7. RNAcentral describes it as "eukaryotic LSU rRNA". It matches the Rfam family "Eukaryotic large subunit ribosomal RNA", at positions 62 to 648 of the family's 3401-position model. The record is from RNAcentral. Lineage: Eukaryota; Fungi; Ascomycota; Saccharomycetes; Phaffomycetales; Wickerhamomycetaceae.